ACAACCUUAAUGACCAGAGCUCUCUGGUGUAAAAUGUAAAAUUUAUAAAGCUCGCACCAGUAAAAUUCUAAUAAAAUGUCAACAAUCUGCAGCCACCAGUGACCUGUCAUCAGGGGACAGUCUGUUCAAGAAACAAGUAGUUGUCUUAAUUGUUAGAAUAAUAUUCAAGGAAUGAUUUAUUAAUUUUCCCCUUUGCCUCACAUUAGCUUCUUUCGCAGUGCGCCCGCCUGCAGAAGUCAGCUGUAGCCACCCAAAUGCAUGAACAACAACAGCAGAAAACCUAAGAAACAACCACUCCUCUUCUCUUGCCUACCAACUGCUAAAUCCAAGAAAAUGUACAUUUUCCCAUUUUGAGGAUUCCAAUAGGACUUAGCCUCCAGGAGCUUGGAGUAUUGCCUGCAAGAUGCUGGACCCCAGCUUCAGACUCCACAAAAACAAAGUGUCCGUGCCAGCCUCGGCCACCAAGGACCCCAGGCCUCCGACUCCCCCCACAAAUCCGACUGCACAGAUGCAGGUUCCCUAUGCUGCCUGCUGGCUGACACCGCAGCCCAGGAGGCAGCCUGUGGAAUUAGCAAUGAUACCGGUGGCUUCUAAGAAAACAAAUCAGUCUGCAAGGCCAGGAUUCGAAGAGGAGCUGAGGCUUGGGAGGAGCGAAUCGCCAGCUUGUCCAUAGUCCCUGCGCCUCAGCGCCAUGCACAGAACCCCACGCUGAGGACAGAGCCACAUCAGCUGUGAGGCUCUGAGGCUGAGGACAGUCCUGUCAGGCGG
Heterocephalus glaber (naked mole-rat) is the source of this 768-nucleotide long non-coding RNA. The record is from Ensembl. Lineage: Eukaryota; Metazoa; Chordata; Mammalia; Rodentia; Bathyergidae.